UACGUAGGGUGCGAGCGUUAAUCGGAAUUACUGGGCGUAAAGCGUGCGCAGGCGGUUAUGCAAGACAGAUGUGAAAUCCCCGGGCUCAACCUGGGAACCGCAUUUGUGACUGCAUAGCUAGAGUACGGUAGAGGGGGAUGGAAUUCCGCGUGUAGCAGUGAAAUGCGUAGAUAUGCGGAGGAACACCGAUGGCGAAGGCAAUCCCCUGGACCUGUACUGACGCUCAUGCGACGAAAGCGUGGGGAGCAAACGAGG
Molecule: ribosomal RNA, 255 nt
Filed under: uncultured bacterium
Lineage: Bacteria
Description: partial 16S ribosomal RNA
Rfam family: Bacterial small subunit ribosomal RNA
Source: RNAcentral